CGGGGUGAGUAAUGUCUGGGAAACUGCCUGAUGGAGGGGGAUAACUACUGGAAACGGUAGCUAAUACCGCAUAAUGUCUGCGGACCAAAGCGGGGGACCUCCGGGCCUCGCGCCAUCAGAUGAACCCAUAUGGGAUUAGCUAGUAGGUAAGGUAACGGCUUACCUAGGCGACGAUCCCUAGCUGGUCUGAGAGGAUGAUCAGCCACACUGGAACUGAGACACGGUCCAG
RNAcentral lists this ribosomal RNA (229 nucleotides) under uncultured bacterium. RNAcentral describes it as "partial 16S ribosomal RNA". It matches the Rfam family "Bacterial small subunit ribosomal RNA", at positions 104 to 334 of the family's 1533-position model. The record is from RNAcentral.